This is a small nuclear RNA of Impatiens glandulifera, 115 nucleotides long. RefSeq annotates it as U5 spliceosomal RNA. The record is from RefSeq and is a predicted model, not a curated record. Lineage: Eukaryota; Viridiplantae; Streptophyta; Magnoliopsida; Ericales; Balsaminaceae. The transcript has a single exon.
AGCCGCGCUCUAUGCACAAAGCGAACUAUUCUUUCGCCUUUUACUAAAGAAUACCGUGUGCAUGCAGCAGAAAGUGGCAUAUGCCUAUUUUUGGUGGGUUUAUCUCUUUUGAUAG